Molecule: long non-coding RNA, 458 nt
Filed under: Gallus gallus (chicken)
Lineage: Eukaryota; Metazoa; Chordata; Aves; Galliformes; Phasianidae
Description: lncRNA (ENSGALG00010002715.1)
Source: RNAcentral
GUGGCACACUACCUCGUCUUAAAUGUUACAGUGAAUAACCCAUCUCCACCCUACCCUCUAUCCCACAUUGCUUUCUAUAUAUACUUUCUCUAUUGACUGCACGCUAUGGGCAUUAUCUCACAUCUGUGAGCACGGAAUGCUGGUUCACACCAAGUCUGUGAGGAGGCUUGGUGUCAUACCCAUGAUUUACGAAGACUGCAGCCUACGCACACCUACCACUUACCCAUACUUAGAGAGAUCAUAGAAACCUAAGUAGAUGGCACGGUAACCUAAAAAUGUAACACCUGGGUUUUGCACAUUUUCUCAGGACCUUUUAACUUUGUUCCUCUGCAGUUUUUCUUUCUUUCUUUCUUUCUCUCUUUCUUUCUUUCUUUCUUUCUUUCUUUCUUUCUUUCUUUCUUUCUUUCUUUCUUUCUUUCUUUCUUUCUUUCUUUCUUUCUUUCUUUCUUUCUUUCUUU